AGUACCGUGUUCUGCCCUGACACAGCCAAGGCCAAGGGCAGUGUAGGCACAGCAGCCGUGACUCUCUGCUGGGAGGUUAACAGCUCCAUCAGUUCAGGGACUGCCUGACCCAGCCUGACCAAAUUAGAGCAAGAGAAAGAAUUGUGCCAUGAAAAAUGGAAAACUCCUGAGAAGCUGUUCCAGCGUCAGUAGAGCGGCAGACAAGCUGGACUGGGGAAGAUUCUUCCUGCAAGACCUGCAGAGUGUAUGACACAUAACCAGCACCCAAGAAAUGUCUACCAAGGAAUUAAUGAAUGAGGGUCCCAUACUUCCUAGCCAUGCUGUUGGCAGGGAUUAACAUUGUUGCAAUUCUCUGGGCAGACCUUGGGAGGUUUAAGCCAAUCAGUGACCCCUAUCAUCCUAGCCCCAGAGGUUGGCUUAGGGAUAGUCACCCCAAUGCAGGCCAAUGCAAGGUGACUUUGCCAGGGGCUUCUGGGAAAGAAGUUUCCUUUCUCUGAGGAAACGUGAAUGAGGACAUCCAUAACUCAGGUUGUGUCUGGCAGCCAUCUUGUGAUCAUCUGGCAAGACAGCCCAAGAAUAAAGCUGUCACCAUGGAGACUAAGAAGAGACAGAAAGACACUGGGUCUUCAUUGACUCGUCCAGCUGUACAUGAGGCCUUACUUGAAGCCCACAUGACCUCCAGACUUCUCUCUUAUGUGAGAGAAUAAAGCUCUUUUUUGUUUAGACCAAAUAAAUACAUAGUACAAUUACAUCAUCCCUUGAUUCCUUUUUAUGACUGAGCUCAGAGACUAUAUUUUGUCAUUUUAAAUCACCUUUAUCUUAAAGUUUAUUUAACUGAAACAAAUAAACAAACCAAAACACGCCAGUUUUUCACUCCUCUGUCAAAGCCUUUCCAAGAUCACUAAGCUUGUGAUGUCCUGGGUGAAUGAAGAAGUAACAGUGUUUUUAACAAAAUAGAAGCUUAUUUCUCUCUCAUAUAAAAGAAGGCUGGAGUCAGGCUGGUAUGGGAGCUACAGCAUCAUCAAAGUUCUAUCUUUUCAUCCUGCCAUCCUUAGAAUAUGGCUUUCAUCUUCAAGAUCACUUCCUAAGCUAUGAGGAUGCAAAGGUAUAAGAAUGACAUAGUGGACUUUGGGGACUCGGUGUCAGGGAAGUUGGGAGGGGUGAGGGAUAAGAGACUACAUAUUGGGUACAGUGUACACUGCUCUGAAAUCUCAGAAAUCACCACUAAAGAACCUAUCCAUGGAAUCAAAAACCACCUAUACCCCCAAAACUAUUGAAAUAAAACUAAAAAAUAAUUUUAAAAAAAAGAUAA
RNAcentral lists this long non-coding RNA (1312 nucleotides) under Pongo abelii (Sumatran orangutan). RNAcentral's name for it is "lincRNA". Lineage: Eukaryota; Metazoa; Chordata; Mammalia; Primates; Hominidae. The record is from RNAcentral.